Molecule: long non-coding RNA, 403 nt
Organism: Arabidopsis lyrata subsp. lyrata
Lineage: Eukaryota; Viridiplantae; Streptophyta; Magnoliopsida; Brassicales; Brassicaceae
Exons: 3
Source: RefSeq, a predicted model, not a curated record
AUGAAAAAUUUGGAGAGAAGUGCGUCGAUUGAAAAAGGCAUGAUUCCGAAAGAUGCAAAAGAGUCUGAAUAUGGAUGGGACUGCGUUUGAAUCAUUACGGUGUCUCUGUUGAUGUUUCCUGUGAUGUAUCUACAAGUAGGCCUAGUAUUCAAAAAAUGCAAGCUAGGAUCAUCUUUAUGAGACUAGGCCACUCAAUACAGAGAAUAAAUGAAUGCACUUGGACAUGGAAAUGUUACAUCUGAACCACCUACUGCUUCUGCUGCAAUGUCAUCUUCAACUCUUCUCCUACCUUCAUUAGCUAUUAUUUUCCUCGGUUCACUGUGAGUGGUGUCAGUGCAGUCAUCUUGCUUAGCAGUUUGAUUACUCUUGGCUACAUCGACGAGGAUGAAGAAAGGCACAACUU